CAGUCGCCGCGGUAAUACGAAGGGUGCAAGCGUUAAUCGGAAUUACUGGGCGUAAAGCGUGCGUAGGCGGUUUGUUAAGUCUGCUGUGAAAUCCCCGGGCUCAACCUGGGAAUGGCAGUGGAUACUGGCAAGCUAGAGUGUGUCAGAGGAUGGUGGAAUUCCCGGUGUAGCGGUGAAAUGCGUAGAGAUCGGGAGGAACAUCAGUGGCGAAGGCGGCCAUCUGGGACAACACUGACGCUGAGGCACGAAAGCGUGGGGAGCAAACAGGAUUAGAUACCCGAGUAGUCCCCUGUCUCUUAUA
This 301-nucleotide ribosomal RNA is filed under the name uncultured bacterium. RNAcentral describes it as "partial 16S ribosomal RNA". It matches the Rfam family "Bacterial small subunit ribosomal RNA", at positions 509 to 808 of the family's 1533-position model. The record is from RNAcentral.